Molecule: transfer RNA, 73 nt
Filed under: Lactococcus garvieae
Lineage: Bacteria; Bacillati; Bacillota; Bacilli; Lactobacillales; Streptococcaceae
Also listed under: 3 other names
Description: tRNA-Thr
Rfam family: tRNA
About the family: Transfer RNA (tRNA) molecules are approximately 80 nucleotides in length. Their secondary structure includes four short double-helical elements and three loops (D, anti-codon, and T loops).
Source: RNAcentral
GCUCUCUUAGCUCAGUUGGUAGAGCACUUCACUCGUAACGAAGGGGUCACAAGUUCGAACCUUGCAGAGAGCA